Molecule: long non-coding RNA, 1339 nt
Filed under: Homo sapiens (human)
Lineage: Eukaryota; Metazoa; Chordata; Mammalia; Primates; Hominidae
Description: long intergenic non-protein coding RNA 1515
Source: RNAcentral
ACAUAGGUCCCCAGAGAAUUUCAAUAUGUCUGAUGUCAAGAACGGAAAGUGAGACAGCCAGGUGGGAGGGGGUCCCUGGAGAAUCUCCAACCAGCCUGCGCACUGGGAAUGCGCACUGGAGUGAAAAUACAGAAGUUGGUGCCCUUUGCAGCAGCCAGGAGUCCGACUCCUCCUCUUCCUGUGUGGAACCUGGAAUUCAAACGGCUGGGGCCUCACUCACGGCAUAUGGAACUAACCACGCCCCUAACUAAGAAGGCACACCUUAGUUGCAGUUAGCACACAAUUAAAGCAACUCUCCAAGUUUUACCUUAAAGUUCAAAAUUGCUAGGAGUUGAAACUACUAGAAAUAUAUUUACAUGCAAGAGUCAAAGAAACUUUGAACUAUUUAUGGCCUUUAAUAAUUAAGUAAGGUAUACUCCUGUGAUCAAGACUUGGAGCAUAUUUGUUUCUCUCUGCCUGGUUCCUCUAGAAAUUGGAAACUAUCAGAACAGAGACCAACUCCGUUUCCCGAUCCCUUUGCAAUCUGCAUUGAACCAUGAGUCAAGUUCUUGAUAAAGGAGUGAAAAUGGAUGACAUUUAAGGCACAUCUGAAGAUGGGGAAACCACAGCACAGAAUAAGGCUGGGCCCUUGAAUCAAUAAAUGAAGGAGAACUACUCAAGAGAACAAAACCACCAGCAAUAUCCACCUGUAUUUGUCUUUUCAUAAUGUGUGACACAUGUGCUCAUGGAUUAUUGUCCGAAGCAAGACAUGUGACCAAGCCUAACAUCAACUGGGUGAAGAGCUAUAUGUUCCUUUCUCAAGAGGCACUACAAGUGACAUGCCACUGGGCAGAUGGAGUCUCGCUCUGUCACCCAGGCUAGAGUGCAGUACCGCAAUCUCGGCUCGCUGCAAGCUCUGACUCCCAGGUUCACACCAUUCUCCUGCCUCAGCCUCCCAAGUAGCUGGCACUACAGGCGCCCACCACCAUGCCUGGCUAAUUUUUUAUAUUUUUAGUAGAGAAGGGGUUUCGCCGUGUUAGCCAGAAUGGUCUUGAUCUCCUGACCUCAUGAUCUGCCCACCUCGGCCUCCCAAAGUGCUGGGAUUACAGGCGUGAGCCACCGCGACUGGCCUAACAUAUUUUUAAAACCUGCAGAAUGUUUGUAUUACUUUUGUCAUAGUACAUAACAUUUAAAUGGAUUUCUUGUUUGUGUAUGUGUGUAUAUUCAUUCACAACACUGAUAGUUUUUCUGAAUAUUUCCUUUGGAUUUUAUUCUUUUCUCAUUCAACUAAAUAAGAACCUGCACCAUCUUUUUCUAGUGUAAAAAUUACAAUAUCUGAAGUGAAACUACUAGAAUAAAU